UAGGAAUCUUGCGCAAUGGGCGAAAGCCUGACGCAGCAACGCCGCGUGAGGGAUGAAGGUUUUCGGAUUGUAAACCUCUUUCAGUAGGAACGAAAUUGACGGUACCUACAGAAGAAGCUCCGGCCAACUACGUGCCAGCAGCCGCGGUAAUACGUAGGGAGCAAGCGUUGUCCGGAUUUAUUGGGCGUAAAGAGCUCGUAGGCGGUUUAGUAAGUCAGGUGUGAAACCUCCAGGCUCAACCUGGAGCCGCCACUUGAUACUGCUAUGACUAGAGUUUGGUAGGGGAUGAUGGAAUUCCUGGUGUAGCGGUGAAAUGCACAGAUAUCAGGAGGAACACCGAUGGCGAAGGCAGUCAUCUGGGCCAAUACUGACGCUGAGGAGCGAAAGCGUGGGGAGCAAAC
Molecule: ribosomal RNA, 401 nt
Filed under: uncultured bacterium
Lineage: Bacteria
Description: bacterial SSU rRNA
Rfam family: Bacterial small subunit ribosomal RNA
Source: RNAcentral